UCUCGUAGUGACCUGCGGAGGGAUCAUUACAGAGUUCAUGCCCUUCGGGGUAGACCUCCCACCCAUUGUAUUUAUACCUUUGUUGCUUUGGUGGGCCGCGGGGCUUCGGCCCGGCCCCUGGCUCUAGCUAGGGAGUGCCCGCCAGAGGACCCUAAAACCUGAAUGUCAGUGUCGUCUGAGUACUAUAUAAUAGUUAAAACUUUCAACAACGGAUCUCUUGGUUCUGGCAUCGAUGAAGAACGCAGCGAAAUGCGAUAAGUAAUGUGAAUUGCAGAAUUCAGUGAAUCAUCGAAUCUUUGAACGCACAUUGCGCCCCUUGGUAUUCCGGGGGGCAUGCCUGUUCGAGCGUCAUUUCAACCCUCAAGCUCUGCUUGGUCUUGGGCGUCACCGGUCUCGGUGUGCUCUAAAAUCAGUGGCGGCGCCGUCUGGCUCUAAGCGUAGUAAUGCUCUCGCUAUAGACGCCCGGCGGAUGCUUGCCAGCAACCCCUAAUUUAUCAAAGUUGACCUCGGAUCAGGUAGGGAUACCCGCUGAACUUAAGCAUAUCAAUAAGCGGAGGAA
Molecule: ribosomal RNA, 559 nt
Filed under: Pezicula carpinea
Lineage: Eukaryota; Fungi; Ascomycota; Leotiomycetes; Helotiales; Dermateaceae
Description: eukaryotic LSU rRNA
Rfam family: 5.8S ribosomal RNA (bases 198-351)
Source: RNAcentral